Molecule: ribosomal RNA, 63 nt
Filed under: Octactis speculum
Lineage: Eukaryota; Dictyochophyceae; Dictyochales; Dictyochaceae
Description: partial Eukaryotic large subunit ribosomal RNA
Source: RNAcentral
AAGAAUCAGCGAGGGCAUAAGACCCUGCUGAGCUCGAUUCUCGUCCGACGUUGUGAAAUGACU